Herpailurus yagouaroundi (jaguarundi) is the source of this 334-nucleotide long non-coding RNA. RefSeq lists it as uncharacterized. The record is from RefSeq and is a predicted model, not a curated record. Lineage: Eukaryota; Metazoa; Chordata; Mammalia; Carnivora; Felidae. The transcript has 2 exons.
AGUCAUUAACUCUACUGAAUGGAAGGCUUCUUGUGUUAUGGACAAAUGGAAGCUUUGCCAGGAAGGGAGAGCUGCACACGAAAUCUUCCUGCCUGGGUCUGGAGUAACUGCCAUUUUCCACUUGUCAACGCUGGAUCUCAUCACAUCUGGUAGAUGGAGUGAAUUCUACCACAUUUUUUCUUCCUUUGUUUUGAAAAGAGAUUUAUUCUGAUAAAAUUCAUGCUCAUUAUAUAUAUUGAAAUAUACAAAGAAUAAAGUAAAAUACAACUGUUGGGGUGAACAUCCUUCCAGACAGCUCUCUUUGUGCACCUAUUAAAAUAUUACACAAAUGGGA